This 468-nucleotide ribosomal RNA is filed under the name uncultured bacterium. RNAcentral's name for it is "partial 16S ribosomal RNA". It matches the Rfam family "Bacterial small subunit ribosomal RNA", at positions 28 to 507 of the family's 1533-position model. The record is from RNAcentral.
GACGAACGCUGGCGGCGUGCUUAACGCAUGCAAGUCGAACGGAAAGGCCCUGCUUUUGUGGGGUGCUCGAGUGGCGAACGGGUGAGUAACACGUGAGUAACCUGCCCUUGACUUUGGGAUAACUUCAGGAAACUGGGGCUAAUACCGGAUAGGAGCUCCUGCUGCAUGGUGGGGGUUGGAAAGUUUCGGCGGUUGGGGAUGGACUCGCGGCUUAUCAGCUUGUUGGUGGGGUAGUGGCUUACCAAGGCUUUGACGGGUAGCCGGCCUGAGAGGGUGACCGGCCACAUUGGGACUGAGAUACGGCCCAGACUCCUACGGGAGGCAGCAGUGGGGAAUAUUGCACAAUGGGCAGAAGCCUGAUGCAGCAACGCCGCGUGCGGGAUGACGGCCUUCGGGUUGUAAACCGCUUUCGCCUGUGACGAAGCGUGAGUGACGGUAAUGGGUAAAGAAGCACCGGCUAACUACGUG